This 433-nucleotide ribosomal RNA is filed under the name uncultured bacterium. RNAcentral's name for it is "partial 16S ribosomal RNA". It matches the Rfam family "Bacterial small subunit ribosomal RNA", at positions 29 to 507 of the family's 1533-position model. The record is from RNAcentral.
AACGAACGCUGGCGGCAUGCCUAGCACAUGCAAGUCGAACGAGACCUUCGGGUCUAGUGGCGCACGGGUGCGUAACGCGUGGGAACCUGCCCUUAGGUUCGGAAUAACUCCCCGAAAGGGGUGCUAAUACCGGAUAAUGUCUUCGGACCAAAGAUUUAUCGCCUUUGGAUGGGCCCGCGUUGGAUUAGCUAGUUGGUAGGGUAAAAGCCUACCAAGGCGACGAUCCAUAGCUGGUCUGAGAGGAUGAUCAGCCACACUGGGACUGAGACACGGCCCAGACUCCUACGGGAGGGAGCAGUGGGGAAUAUUGGACAAUGGGCGAAAGCCUGAUCCAGCCAUGCCGCGUGAGUGAUGAAAGCCUUAGGGUUGUAAAGCUCUUUUACCCGGGAUGAUAAUGACAGUACCGGGAGAAUAAGCUCCGGCUAACUCCGUG